UACGUAGGGGGCAAGCGUUGUCCGGAAUCAUUGGGCGUAAAGCGCGCGUAGGCGGCCCGGUAAGUCCGUUGUGAAAGUCAAAGGCUCAACCUUUGAACGCCGAUGGAUACUGCCGGGCUAGAGUCCGGAAGAGGCGAGUGGAAUUCCUGGUGUAGCGGUGAAAUGCGCAGAUAUCAGGAAGAACACCCGUGGCGAAGGCGGCUCUCUGGUACGGAACUGACGCUGAGACGCGAAAGCGUGGGGAGCGAACAGG
Molecule: ribosomal RNA, 253 nt
Filed under: uncultured bacterium
Lineage: Bacteria
Description: partial 16S ribosomal RNA
Rfam family: Bacterial small subunit ribosomal RNA
Source: RNAcentral